CACGAGUUUGAUCAUGGCUCAGAUUGAACGCUGGCGGCAUGCCUUACACAUGCAAGUCGAACGGCAGCACGGGAGCAAUCCUGGUGGCGAGUGGCGAACGGGUGAGUAAUAUAUCGGAACGUGCCCGGUCGUGGGGGAUAACGUAGCGAAAGCUACGCUAAUACCGCAUACGAUCUACGGAUGAAAGCGGGGGAUCGCAAGACCUCGCGCGAUUGGAGCGGCCGAUAUCAGAUUAGGUAGUUGGUGAGGUAAAGGCUCACCAAGCCGACGAUCUGUAGCUGGUCUGAGAGGACGACCAGCCACACUGGGACUGAGACACGGCCCAGACUCCUACGGGAGGCAGCAGUGGGGAAUAUUGGACAAUGGGCGAAAGCCUGAUCCAGCAAUGCCGCGUGAGUGAUGAAGGCCUUAGGGUUGUAAAGCUCUUUUACCCGGGAUGAUAAUGACAGUACCGGGAGAAUAAGCUCCGGCUAACUCCGUG
This 481-nucleotide ribosomal RNA is filed under the name uncultured bacterium. Its description in RNAcentral is "bacterial SSU rRNA". It matches the Rfam family "Bacterial small subunit ribosomal RNA", at positions 1 to 507 of the family's 1533-position model. The record is from RNAcentral.